UGCAGUCGAACGGAAAGGUCUCUUCGGAGAUACUCGAGUGGCGAACGGGUGAGUAACACGUGGGUGAUCUGCCCUGCACUUCGGGAUAAGCCUGGGAAACUGGGUCUAAUACCGGAUAGGACCACGGGAUGCAUGUCUUGUGGUGGAAAGCGCUUUAGCGGUGUGGGAUGAGCCCGCGGCCUAUCAGCUUGUUGGUGGGGUGACGGCCUACCAAGGCGACGACGGGUAGCCGGCCUGAGAGGGUGUCCGGCCACACUGGGACUGAGAUACGGCCCAGACUCCUACGGGAGGCAGCAGUGGGGAAUAUUGCACAAUGGGCGCAAGCCUGAUGCAGCGACGCCGCGUGGGGGAUGACGGCCUUCGGGUUGUAAACCUCUUUCACCAUCGACGAAGGUCCGGGUUCUCUCGGAUUGACGGUAGGUGGAGAAGAAGCACCGGCCAACUACGUGCCAGCAGCCGCGGUAAUACGUAGGGUGCGAGCGUUGUCCGGAAUUACUGGGCGUAAAGAGCUCGUAGGUGGUUUGUCGCGUUGUUCGUGAAAUCUCACGGCUUAACUGUGAGCGUGCGGGCGAUACGGGCAGACUAGAGUACUGCAGGGGAGACUGGAAUUCCUGGUGUAGCGGUGGAAUGCGCAGAUAUCAGGAGGAACACCGGUGGCGAAGGCGGGUCUCUGGGCAGUAACUGACGCUGAGGAGCGAAAGCGUGGGGAGCGAACAGGAUUAGAUACCCUGGUAGUCCACGCCGUAAACGGUGGGUACUAGGUGUGGGUUUCCUUCCUUGGGAUCCGUGCCGUAUCUAACGCAUUAAGUACCCCGCCUGGGGAGUACAGCCGCAAGGCUAAAACUCAAAGGAAUUGACGGGGGCCCGCACAAGCGGGCGGAGCAUGUGGAUUAGUUUUAUGCACCGUAAAUAACCAUAACCUGGGUUUGACCUUCAAAAUGACGCCGUCUUGAGAUAGGAGUUUCGCUUGUGGCCUCUGUCCAGGACGUGCA
This 992-nucleotide ribosomal RNA is filed under the name Mycobacterium tuberculosis. RNAcentral's name for it is "bacterial SSU rRNA". It matches the Rfam family "Bacterial small subunit ribosomal RNA", at positions 56 to 1042 of the family's 1533-position model. RNAcentral also lists the same sequence under 1 other name. Lineage: Bacteria; Bacillati; Actinomycetota; Actinomycetes; Mycobacteriales; Mycobacteriaceae. The record is from RNAcentral.